UACGGAGGGGGUUAGCGUUGUUCGGAAUUACUGGGCGUAAAGCGCGCGUAGGCGGGCUGUUAAGUCGGGGGUGAAAUCCCGGGGCUCAACCCCGGAACUGCCUUCGAUACUGGCAGCCUUGAGGUCGAGAGAGGUGAGUGGAACUCCGAGUGUAGAGGUGAAAUUCGUAGAUAUUCGGAAGAGCACCAGUGGCGAAGGCGGCUCACUGGCUCGAUACUGACGCUGAGGUGCGAAAGUGUGGGGAGCAAACACG
Molecule: ribosomal RNA, 253 nt
Filed under: uncultured bacterium
Lineage: Bacteria
Description: partial 16S ribosomal RNA
Rfam family: Bacterial small subunit ribosomal RNA
Source: RNAcentral